This 410-nucleotide ribosomal RNA is filed under the name uncultured Aggregatibacter sp. RNAcentral describes it as "bacterial SSU rRNA". It matches the Rfam family "Bacterial small subunit ribosomal RNA", at positions 505 to 916 of the family's 1533-position model. Lineage: Bacteria; Pseudomonadati; Pseudomonadota; Gammaproteobacteria; Pasteurellales; Pasteurellaceae. The record is from RNAcentral.
GUGCCAGCCGCCGCGGUAAUACGGAGGGGGUUAGCGUUAAUCGGAAUAACUGGGCGUAAAGGGCACGCAGGCGGCUAUUUAAGUGAGGUGUGAAAUCCCCGGGCUUAACCUGGGAAUUGCAUUUCAGACUGGGUAGCUAGAGUACUUUAGGGAGGGGUAGAAUUCCACGUGUAGCGGUGAAAUGCGUAGAGAUGUGGAGGAAUACCGAAGGCGAAGGCAGCCCCUUGGGAAUGUACUGACGCUCAUGUGCGGAAGCGUGGGGAGCAAACAGGAUUAGAUACCCUGGUAGUCCACGCUGUAAACGCUGUCGAUUUGGGGAUUGGGCUUUAAGCUUGGUGCCCGUAGCUAACGUGAUAAAUCGACCGCCUGGGGAGUACGGCCGCAAGGUUAAAACUCAAAUAAAUUGACGG